This 912-nucleotide ribosomal RNA is filed under the name Aspergillus intermedius. Its description in RNAcentral is "LSU rRNA". It matches the Rfam family "Eukaryotic large subunit ribosomal RNA", at positions 38 to 965 of the family's 3401-position model. Lineage: Eukaryota; Fungi; Ascomycota; Eurotiomycetes; Eurotiales; Aspergillaceae. The record is from RNAcentral.
GCAUAUCAAUAAGCGGAGGAAAAGAAACCAACCGGGAUUGCCUCAGUAACGGCGAGUGAAGCGGCAAGAGCUCAAAUUUGAAAUCUGGCCCCUCCGGGGUCCGAGUUGUAAUUUGUAGAGGAUGCUUCGGGUGCGGCCCCCGUCUAAGUGCCCUGGAACGGGCCAUCGGAGAGGGUGAGAAUCCCGUCUGGGACGGGGUGUCCGCGUCCAUGUGAAGCUCCUUCGACGAGUCGAGUUGUUUGGGAAUGCAGCUCUAAAUGGGUGGUAAAUUUCAUCUAAAGCUAAAUACUGGCCGGAGACCGAUAGCGCACAAGUAGAGUGAUCGAAAGAUGAAAAGCACUUUGAAAAGAGAGUUAAACAGCACGUGAAAUUGUUGAAAGGGAAGCGCUUGCGACCAGACUCGCUUCCGGGGUUCAGCCGGCUUUCGGGCCGGUGUACUUCCCCGGGGGCGGGCCAGCGUCGGUUUGGGCGGCCGGUCAAAGGCCCCUGGAAUGUAACGCCUCUCGGGGCGCCUUAUAGCCAGGGGUGUCAUGCGGCCAGCCUGGACCGAGGAACGCGCUUCGGCACGGACGCUGGCAUAAUGGUCGUAAACGACCCGUCUUGAAACACGGACCAAGGAGUCUAACAUCUACGCGAGUGUUCGGGUGUCAAACCCGUGCGCGCAGUGAAAGCGAACGGAGGUGGGAGCCCCCUCGCGGGGCGCACCAUCGACCGAUCCUGAUGUCUUCGGAUGGAUUUGAGUAAGAGCGUAGCUGUGGGGACCCGAAAGAUGGUGAACUAUGCCUGAAUAGGGCGAAGCCAGAGGAAACUCUGGUGGAGGCUCGCAGCGGUUCUGACGUGCAAAUCGAUCGUCAAAUUUGGGUAUAGGGGCGAAAGACUAAUCGAACCAUCUGGUAGCUGGUUCCUGCCGAG